This 1389-nucleotide ribosomal RNA is filed under the name bacterium NLAE-zl-P363. Its description in RNAcentral is "16S ribosomal RNA". It matches the Rfam family "Bacterial small subunit ribosomal RNA". The record is from RNAcentral.
AGUCGAGGGGCAGCAUUUCAGUUUGCUUGCAAACUGGAGAUGGCGACCGGCGCACGGGUGAGUAACACGUAUCCAACCUGCCGAUAACUCGGGGAUAGCCUUUCGAAAGAAAGAUUAAUACCCGAUGGNAUAAUCAGACCGCAUGGUNUUAUUAUUAAAGAAUUUCGGUUAUCGAUGGGGAUGCGUUCCAUUAGGCAGUUGGUGAGGUAACGGCUCACCAAACCUUCGAUGGAUAGGGGUUCUGAGAGGAAGGUCCCCCACAUUGGAACUGAGACACGGUCCAAACUCCUACGGGAGGCAGCAGUGAGGAAUAUUGGUCAAUGGGCGCAGGCCUGAACCAGCCAAGUAGCGUGAAGGAUGACUGCCCUAUGGGUUGUAAACUUCUUUUAUAUGGGAAUAAAGUUUUCCACGUGUGGAAUUUUGUAUGUACCAUAUGAAUAAGGAUCGGCUAACUCCGUGCCAGCAGCCGCGGUAAUACGGAGGAUCCGAGCGUUAUCCGGAUUUAUUGGGUUUAAAGGGAGCGUAGGUGGACAGUUAAGUCAGUUGUGAAAGUUUGCGGCUCAACCGUAAAAUUGCAGUUGAUACUGGCUGUCUUGAGUACAGUAGAGGUGGGCGGAAUUCGUGGUGUAGCGGUGAAAUGCUUAGAUAUCACGAAGAACUCCGAUUGCGAAGGCAGCUCACUGGACUGCAACUGACACUGAUGCUCGAAAGUGUGGGUAUCAAACAGGAUUAGAUACCCUGGUAGUCCACACAGUAAACGAUGAAUACUCGCUGUUUGCGAUAUACAGUAAGCGGCCAAGCGAAAGCAUUAAGUAUUCCACCUGGGGAGUACGCCGGCAACGGUGAAACUCAAAGGAAUUGACGGGGGCCCGCACAAGCGGAGGAACAUGUGGUUUAAUUCGAUGAUACGCGAGGAACCUUACCCGGGCUUAAAUUGCAUUUGAAUAAUNUGGAAACAGGUUAGCCGCAAGGCAAAUGUGAAGGUGCUGCAUGGUUGUCGUCAGCUCGUGCCGUGAGGUGUCGGCUUAAGUGCCAUAACGAGCGCAACCCUUAUCUUUAGUUACUAACAGGUCAUGCUGAGGACUCUAGAGAGACUGCCGUCGUAAGAUGUGAGGAAGGUGGGGAUGACGUCAAAUCAGCACGGCCCUUACGUCCGGGGCUACACACGUGUUACAAUGGGGGGUACAGAAGGCAGCUACCUGGUGACAGGAUGCUAAUCCCAAAAGCCUCUCUCAGUUCGGAUCGAAGUCUGCAACCCGACUUCGUGAAGCUGGAUUCGCUAGUAAUCGCGCAUCAGCCAUGGCGCGGUGAAUACGUUCCCGGGCCUUGUACACANCGCCCGUCAAGCCAUGAAAGCCGGGGGUACCUGAAGUACGUAACCGCAAGGAG